AUUGAACGCUGGCGGCAUGCUUUACACAUGCAAGUCGAACGGCAGCACGAGUGCUUGCACUUGGUGGCGAGUGGCGAACGGGUGAGUAAUACAUCGGAAUGUGUCCUAAAGUGGGGGAUAACGCAUCGAAAGAUGUGCUAAUACCGCAUAAUCUCUAAGGAGAAAAGUAGGGGAUCGAAAGACCUUAUGCUUUUGGAGCGGCCGAUGUCUGAUUAGCUAGUUGGUGGGGUAAUGGCCUACCAAGGCGACGAUCAGUAGCUGGUCUGAGAGGAUGAUCAGCCACACUGGAACUGAGACACGGUCCAGACUCCUACGGGAGGCAGCAGUAAGGAAUAUUGCUCAAUGGCCGAAAGGCUGAAGCAGCAACGCCGCGUGGAGGAUGAAAUACUUUUGUAUGUAAACUCCUGUGAGAAGGGAAAAUAUGCAGAUUUUCUGCGUUGAUUGUACCUUCAGAGGAAGCCCCGGCUAACUACG
This 474-nucleotide ribosomal RNA is filed under the name uncultured bacterium. Its description in RNAcentral is "bacterial SSU rRNA". It matches the Rfam family "Bacterial small subunit ribosomal RNA", at positions 30 to 505 of the family's 1533-position model. The record is from RNAcentral.